CUGGAAUGGCAGAGGGACUCGUCAGGCGACCUGCAACCCCGAGCGGCCCCGGGACGGUCUCUUCGGCACUACCCUCCCGGCUGGGAACCCCAUCCAGGUAAGGGGACGGCAACAGCUCAGGCCUGGUGCCCACCUGUGUUUUCCAGCAGCGUCUUGGGGGUGUUGGGCCGGUUGAUGAUCUCCACCAGGUUGUUGAGGACCAUCUGCACGUAGGGCUGCAUCUCUGCCCCUGGGGGACCGGUCAGUCAGAGCCCCGCACAGCCCAGACCACCCAUGCUGACCUCAGCUGCAUCUACGCACUGACCCCCUGCAACCGCUGAGGGAACGGAGAACAUUCUCCAGCUGGUCCCCCGCUCAGGACCCGUGGCCAACCAGGGGCAGACCCAAGCCUUCCAAACGCCAGAAGCUUCCUUGGAGUCACAGCUCCAACACCGGGGCGAGACCGCAUUGCCCAGAUUCCCUGUGGGGGAAGACCAAUCACAGACGGCCUUUCAGCCAUUUGGGAGUCUCCCGGCGGAAACCACUCAGAGAGGUCUUCUUGCCAGACCAACUGGGGCAAUCCUCAAGGAGCACCGGGGCUCUCUCCCCAGGGGCCUGCCCUCAGCAGGGAACAGACCGAUGUGGGUGACAGCGCGGGGCCCGUCAACUUGCAGCACACUCACCCAUCU
Lynx canadensis (Canada lynx) is the source of this 668-nucleotide long non-coding RNA. RefSeq lists it as uncharacterized. NCBI's taxonomy places the organism in Eukaryota, Metazoa, Chordata, Mammalia, Carnivora, Felidae. The record is from RefSeq and is a predicted model, not a curated record. The transcript is spliced from 3 exons.